UACAGAGGGGGCAAGCGUUGUUCGGAAUUACUGGGCGUAAAGGGCGCGUAGGCGGCCUUCUAAGUCGAACGUGAAAUCCCCGGGCUCAACCCGGGAACUGCGUCCGAUACUGGAAGGCUUGAAUCCGGGAGAGGGAUGCGGAAUUCCAGGUGUAGCGGUGAAAUGCGUAGAUAUCAAGAGGAACACCUGAGGCGAAGGCGGGUUGCUAGGCUGACACUGACGCUGAGUGCGCGAAAGCCAGGGGAGCAAACGGG
This 254-nucleotide ribosomal RNA is filed under the name uncultured bacterium. RNAcentral describes it as "partial 16S ribosomal RNA". It matches the Rfam family "Bacterial small subunit ribosomal RNA", at positions 524 to 776 of the family's 1533-position model. The record is from RNAcentral. RNAcentral also lists the same sequence under 1 other name.